AACGUAGGUGGCGAGCGUUAUCCGGAUUUACUGGGCGUAAAGGGUGUGCAGGCGGGCUGUUAAGUGGUGUAUGAAAUAUCCCGGCUCAACCGGGAAGGGUUAUGCCAGACUGGCAGUCUAGAGAGCGAGAGAGGGACGUGGAAUUCCGGGUGUAGUGGUGAAAUGCGUAGAGAUCGGGAGGAACACCGGUGGCGAAGGCGGGUCUCUGGGCAUCUCCUGACGCUGAGGCGCGAAAGCGUGGGGAGCAAACGGG
Molecule: ribosomal RNA, 253 nt
Filed under: uncultured prokaryote
Description: partial 16S ribosomal RNA
Rfam family: Bacterial small subunit ribosomal RNA
Source: RNAcentral